AUUGAACGCUGGCGGCAGGCCUAACACAUGCAAGUCGAGCGGAUGAAGGGAGCUUGCUCCUGGAUUCAGCGGCGGACGGGUGAGUAAUGCCUAGGAAUCUGCCUGGUAGUGGGGGAUAACGUCCGGAAACGGGCGCUAAUACCGCAUACGUCCUGAGGGAGAAAGUGGGGGAUCUUCGGACCUCACGCUAUCAGAUGAGCCUAGGUCGGAUUAGCUAGUUGGUGGGGUAAAGGCCUACCAAGGCGACGAUCCGUAACUGGUCUGAGAGGAUGAUCAGUCACACUGGAACUGAGAAACGGUCCAGACUCCUACGGGAGGCAGCAGUGGGGAAUAUUUGGCAAUGGGCGAAAGCCUGAUGCAGCCAUGCCGCGUGUGUGAAGAAGGUCUUCGGAUUGUAAAACACUUUUAGUUGGGAAGAAAGGAAGUAAAGUUAAAUCUUGACGUUUUGACGGUACCUAAAGAAAAAGCCACGGCUAACUUCGUG
This 484-nucleotide ribosomal RNA is filed under the name uncultured bacterium. RNAcentral describes it as "partial 16S ribosomal RNA". It matches the Rfam family "Bacterial small subunit ribosomal RNA", at positions 30 to 507 of the family's 1533-position model. The record is from RNAcentral.